UCGCGUUGAUUUUCGAAGCUU
RNAcentral lists this non-coding RNA (21 nucleotides) under Caenorhabditis elegans. Lineage: Eukaryota; Metazoa; Nematoda; Chromadorea; Rhabditida; Rhabditidae. The record is from RNAcentral.